Molecule: unclassified non-coding RNA, 431 nt
Filed under: soil metagenome
Description: partial contains 5.8S ribosomal RNA, internal transcribed spacer 2, and large subunit ribosomal RNA
Rfam family: 5.8S ribosomal RNA (bases 2-119)
Source: RNAcentral
GUGAAGAACGUAGCGAAAUGCGAUACGUAAUGUGAAUUGCAGAAUUCAGUGAAUCAUCGAAUCUUUGAACGCAUAUUGCGCUCUCUGGUAUUCCGGAGAGCAUGCUUGUUUGAGUAUCAGUAAACACCUCAACUUCCAUAUCUUUUUUGAAAUGGGAGUUGGACUUGAGUGAUCCCAACGCUUUUCCUCACCGAAAAGUGGCGGGUUACUUGAAAUGCAGGUGCAGCUGGACUUUUCUCUGAGCUAUAAGCAUAUCUAUUUAGUCUGCCUAAAAAACAGAUUAUUACCUUUGCUGCAGCUAACAUAAAGGAGAUUAGUUCUUGUGCUGACUGAUGCAGGAUUCACAAAGACAGGCUUCGGCCGACUUUGUAAACUCGAUCUCAAAUCAAGUAAGACUACCCGCUGAACUUAAGCAUAUCAAUAAGCGAGGA